Molecule: ribosomal RNA, 254 nt
Filed under: uncultured bacterium
Lineage: Bacteria
Description: partial 16S ribosomal RNA
Rfam family: Bacterial small subunit ribosomal RNA
Source: RNAcentral
UACGGGGGGAGCAAGCGUUGUUCGGAUUUACUGGGCGUAAAGGGCGCGUAGGCGGCCAGCACAAGUCAGUUGUGAAAUCUCCGAGCUUAACUCGGAAAGGUCAACUGAUACUGUGCGGCUAGAGUGCGGAAGGGGCAACUGGAAUUCUUGGUGUAGCGGUGAAAUGCGUAGAUAUCAAGAGGAACACCAAUUGCGAAGGCAGCUCGCUGGGACGUAACUGACGCUGAGACGCGAAAGCGUGGGGAGCAAACAGG